This 75-nucleotide antisense RNA is filed under the name Streptomyces gilvosporeus. RNAcentral's name for it is "ASpks TB sRNA". It matches the Rfam family "ASpks TB sRNA". The record is from Rfam by way of RNAcentral. RNAcentral also lists the same sequence under 1 other name. Lineage: Bacteria; Bacillati; Actinomycetota; Actinomycetes; Kitasatosporales; Streptomycetaceae.
UUUGACGGAGCCCAGGAGCAGCGGGUGCUCGGGGUCGCGGCCCUGGCCGUACGUGGCCAGCAGGGCCUGCGCCUC